GAGACGCUAGUAAAGCUAGUGAUUACACUGCCUUGUCAAGGCAGGAGCGUGGGUUGAACUCCCGCGCGUCUUA
Molecule: transfer RNA, 73 nt
Filed under: Datnioides undecimradiatus (Mekong tiger perch)
Lineage: Eukaryota; Metazoa; Chordata; Actinopteri; Lobotiformes; Datnioididae
Also listed under: 1 other name
Description: tRNA-Asp
Rfam family: tRNA
About the family: Transfer RNA (tRNA) molecules are approximately 80 nucleotides in length. Their secondary structure includes four short double-helical elements and three loops (D, anti-codon, and T loops).
Source: RNAcentral